UACGAAGGGGGCUAGCGUUGUUCGGAAUUACUGGGCGUAAAGCGCACGUAGGCGGCUAUUUAAGUCAGGGGUGAAAUCCCGGGGCUCAACCCCGGAACUGCCUUUGAUACUGGGUAUCUCGAGUCCGAGAGAGGUGAGUGGAAUUCCGAGUGUAGAGGUGAAAUUCGUAGAUAUUCGGAGGAACACCAGUGGCGAAGGCGGCUCACUGGCUCGGUACUGACGCUGAGGUGCGAAAGCGUGGGGAGAAAACAGG
This 253-nucleotide ribosomal RNA is filed under the name uncultured bacterium. Its description in RNAcentral is "partial 16S ribosomal RNA". It matches the Rfam family "Bacterial small subunit ribosomal RNA", at positions 524 to 776 of the family's 1533-position model. The record is from RNAcentral.